UGUGUAGGCGGUUCUUUAAGUUUGGUGUGAAAUCUCCCGGCUUAACCGGGAGGGUGCGCCGAAUACUGAGGAACUAGAGUGCGGGAGAGGAAAGUGGAAUUCCUGGUGUAGCGGUGAAAUGCGUAGAUAUCAGGAGGAACACCGGUGGUGUAGACGGCUUUCUGGACCGUAACUGACGCUGAAACACGAAAGCGUGGGUAGCAAACAGGAUUAGAUACCCUGGUAGUCCACGCCCUAAACGAUGCAUAUUUGGUGUGGGUCAUUCAGUUGAUCCGUGCCGGAGCUAACGCGUUAAAUAUGCCGCCUGGGGAGUACAGUCGCAAGGCUGAA
Molecule: ribosomal RNA, 330 nt
Filed under: uncultured bacterium
Lineage: Bacteria
Description: bacterial SSU rRNA
Rfam family: Bacterial small subunit ribosomal RNA
Source: RNAcentral